UCCAUGUUAACUUGGUGUAAGGUAGUCUUGAUGAUGUGUUGAGGCGGUCUGCUCAGUGUAAGAACAAAUAGUUGGCUGCUCCCAUUUGUAUCUCAUUUCGUAAUCAUCACAAGCUAUGCCUAUGUCAAUAUCUAAAUGUUUUUGCUGUUUUUUUCUCCUCCUUAAAUCAAUAUUUUCUUUUGAUUUGUAGGACCGUUAGUAAGGUUGCUCAUCUGCAAGCGAAAGAGCUUUGUGCAUUCUUGCAUGACUAAGGAAGAAAUUUGUUAUUUGAAGUAUGCACUACAGAUAUUGCAAGGUAUUUCUGUUACCAGAUUCAUAUUUUUUGGGACCUAUGUACAGAUAAUAAUUCUUAGCUGCAGUUAUUUUUGUCCUAAAUAGUGGUUCCUUGGAAAGCAGUUUAAUUUCUUGCAUUGAUUCCUCAUGCUAUAAACCACACCUUUCCUAUUUUGUUAAAGAAGUGAAUUCAUUCCUAAACUUACACCACCAGUCAGCCUAGCCACUAGGCCAGGCCAUUCAAGCAAACUCGCUGCCACUACAGUUCAGUUAUUAACUAUGCCUGCGACUAAUUCUAAUCAACGGGACAAAAAACUAUCAGAGGAAUCAAAGGCAUGCAUCUGACCUGAGGUACACACACCAAUUGAAAUAAGAGGUGAUAAUGUUAUCAUAUAGCUAUACUCGAUUUAUUAUUAACUUAACGACCAACCUGGACGGUAAAAAUCUACUUCACUUGGGUAACAGGAGUUGGACACCGAAAGCUUGUUCAAUCAUUUUAAAAUAUUUAUCUUUGUUGUUCCACUUAGCUACACCAUCCGUAAGUGUUUUUUAUAGAAUCUAUAAAAACAAAGUGCUUUGCUUCUUUCCUUGCUUGGUUCAAGGUUCCAGGAUGAUGUUCUGAGAGUCCAGUUUCUUUUUUUUAGAUUUUGUAGUAGCAAAGAUGUGUACAAUAUGGAUAGCUGAAUUGGUGUUUAGGCGUUUCAGUGCAGGACUGCUACUUGCUUGAUUAGUUAGAUGAACUGGUGUUUAGAGAUUUCAAUGCGGAGUGAUGUUUCGGUGUUUAUAAAAAAAAUCAUCAGUACAGCAUGAGAUUACAAAAGACUAUUACCGAAAAAGGCUUUCGCCCCGCUUUAUAAAUAAAGCAAAUACAAAAGACUAUUAAAAGAGGUCAUACUAGCAUAAUCUAUGACCAGUUCCAAAUUACCCAGUGAGACUUAUUCCAUUUGUUUAUCCUUUUGUCCUUUUAAUCAAGAACAUUGUUUAGAGCUUACAUGGUUGUCAAAAUUUAAUUCUGUAAAAGAGGAAUAUUGAUAUCAUGCAAUGAUCAUUGCAGAUUAGGAUAGUUAUAGAGUUCUCCUUAUAGAGUUCUUCCUCAGUUUUCAUUGAGCAAAGACUGAAUCUGUAUGAUUUGUUCUAAUACCAAGUAAAUCAUGGUCUGCAUUGUGUUAGUUUUCCUACUGAGUUUUUUUUUGGCUAUUUUCGUUUAAAUUGGUAGUUGAUGUGAUUUAUGUACUCUGUACAGUGAUGAGUAUACCAUUUAACAUGUGCAUGAUGUUAAAAUUGUGUGAAUCUAAGGGCCUGCUUGCUUCAUAAUCUGUAGCUAAGUUAUUUUAGGAUUUUUUUUAUUUUUAUUUUUGUGUGUGCGAUCUUUACCUGUUGUCAAAUCUAAUUUCACCUCGCGGUCAGUUUUAGCAGUCCAGUGACUGGUGGGCUCGCGCCGCGUGUUUAUUAGCUGGGUUGAUUGAUCUGGCGUGGAAAAGACUUUUGCCCAAUCCCCGCGCGUGCUCCGCUCCCAAUCCUUGUCGCGGGGUUGCUGCACCAAAGCACACACCCGCACCAACCCUUGCCGCCACACCUCUCCUUUCUCCCUCGCUCGACACCAUAGGCGCCGCAUCCCCUCCCUCCUUCCUGCUUGUCUUGAUAGCCGUCGGUCGCCGCAUCCCUUCUCUCCCUUCCUCCUUCCCGCUGGCGCCUCUCGCCCUUGUCCUCGGAUAGGGGCCUCCCGCAUGCACGGCCAGGUCUUCAAAGCGCGAGGCGUGCGGGAGACGUGUGCGAGGCCUACGCGAGUUCCACACUCUCUCAGACGGAUUGAGGAGAAGGGGAGGGGUGCUGCGAUGUGGAUCCAAGGAAGGAGGGCUCGGGCAGCUGCUUCCUCUUCCACCCAGCCGGAUGAGGUGAGCAGCAGCGGUGGGGAUGGGCGACCUCCGACAGAGUUUAGGAAGGGGCGCUGUCAGGACCAGAGUCCCUCUGUACUGAAUUUAAGCACGAACUAGUAGGUUUCAGACAAGAAUUUGGGCGAAUUUAGCUAGGGUUUUCAUUGCAAGAGGAAGGGAAGGUAGUAGCACGCCACCGGCGGCUAGGGUUUACACUCAAUAAUUCUAUUACAUGCCUCGAAUGGAAGGGAAAGCUGGCUUAUGUAGCCAUUACAGUAGCUGUAAAGCAGAAAAGCAGAAAAGUGCAAGCACAUGGCUUGUCGGACGGUGAACAGCUUCUCCCGCGUCUUCUAAGCCGUUGGAUGGUUGAUCGACGGAGGAGAGAAACCCACUUAAGUGAACCAUUAGCUUGGCCCUGAGACCGUAGGAUUUGAGAUGGACGGCUGUCAAUGCAACUGACACGCAGGAACAGGGGAACUUAAGAACUGAGCCUGACAAUACCCCCCGAUUAAGCUGGAGCUUGUCCUCAAGCUCUGAAUGCAGGAAAAGCUUUCUGGAUAAAGGCUGAAUCCUCCCAAGUUGCUUCCUCUGGUGGCAGAUUUGCCCAUUUCACCAACCAUUUGACUACUGGAAUGCUUAUAUUGCCUUGCUUCCUUGGAAUUAGCUUCCUCUCCAGAAUAGUUUCAGGUUCAAUUCUGAUUAUCCCAUCAGGACCAACCAGGGGAAGUUUGGAAGAGGGCACAACCUUGGGUCCAAUAUGCUUUUUAAGCUGACUGGCAUGGAAUGUGUCAUGCAACUGGCAAUCUUCAGGCAAGAGCAACUUGUAUGCAUGAUUUCCAAUUUUACUCAGAAUUUUGAAUGGCCCAUAAAACUUGGAGUGUAGCUUAAUGUGCCUGUGCAGACUGAGAGAAGUAUGUCUGUGAGGUUGCAGCUUAAGAUACACCAUUUCUCCCACCAUCAACUCUCUUUCUUUUCUGUUCCUGUCAGCAAAGAAUUUCAUUCUUGCUUGUGCUUUCAAGAGAUUUUGCUUGAUCACUUCCACUGCUAGCUCUCUGUUCUGCAACAGAUCCUCAUUGUCCACACAAAUAGUGUCAGGCAGAGCUGAUUCAGCCACCAUAGGAGGAGGAAAACCAUAAAGAGCUUGGAAAGGUGUCAUUUUCAGAGAUGUAUGGAAAGAGGUGCUAUACCACCACUCAGCUAAAGCCAGCCAUCCAUGCCAUUUCCUUGGUUGUUGGAAGCACAUACAUCUUAAAUAAUUCUCCAAGCACUGAUUCACUCUCUCUGUUUGCCCAUAUGUUUGUGGAUGAUAACUAGUGCUCAUGUGCAAUUUAAUGUUCGGUGACUUGAACAGCUUUUGCCAGAGAUUGCUAGUGAAGAUUCUAUCUCUGUCAGUCACAAUAACUAGUGGCAUGCCAUGAAGUUUAAACACAUUUUCAGAGAAGGCUCUUGCUACAGACUGGACUGUGAUGGGAUGCUUCAUAGCAAUGAAAUGAGAGUAUUUAGUGAACCUGUCAACCACCACUAGAAUCAAGUUUUUGUUCUCUGAAAUGGGCAAACCCUCUACAAAAUCCAUACUAAUAUGAGCCCAUGCAAAAUCAGGAACAGGGAGUGGCUCUAACAGCCCAGGGUAAGGUGUAUGUUCAGAUUUGUUCAACUGGCAGACAGGGCAAUUUUUCACAAAUGUGAUCACAUCUUGCUUCAUUCCUUGCUAAUGAAAUACUAGUUUUAUUCUCUGAUAAGUAGCUCUUUCACCAGAGUGUCCACCCAGCUCAGAGUUGUGAAAUGUAGCUAGUAUUUCCUACCUCAGGUUAGUGCUUUUUCCCACUACCACCUUAUUGUGAAACCUCAAUAUACCAUUCUUAAAGGAAUAAGCAUUACCAGUGCUUUGAUCCACAGAACACUCAGCAAUUAGUUCCUUGAUUUUGCCAUCCUGCUGAUAACUGCUCACUACUUCCUUAACCCAAGUAGGCAAGGCAACAAUAGUAAAUAUUGCAGAAACUGCAUGUUUUACUCUAGAUAGUGCAUCAGCAGCCCUGUUCUCCUUGCCCUUCUUGUACUCUAUAGUAAAAUUAUACCCAAGUAACUUUAAUAGCAGCUUGUGUUGGAUACCCUCAGUAACUUUCUGCUCUUGGAUGUACUUCAAGCUCUCCUGAUCUGUUCUGAUUAUUAGAGAAGUAGCAGAGAAAUAAUGUUUCCAUUUCUUCACAGCUUCAAUAAUAGCCAUAGCUUCUUUAUCAUAAGUACUUGGUGCAGCAGCUUUAGGGCCAAUACUCUUACUGAAAUAAGCAAGUGGCCUGCCCUCUUGCAUUAGUACAACCCCCAAGCCAUAUCCACAAGCAUCAGCUUCCAAUAUAAAUGGCUUUUUGAAAUCUGGCAGGGCCAGGACAGGUGCAUGAGUGAGUUUCUGUUUCAGUGCUUCAAAUGUUUGUUGUUGCUCCUUUGCCCAAGCAAAAGAAUCCUUCUUAAAGCAGUCAAAGAGAGGCCUGCAGAUUAUCCUAUAUCCCUGGAUAAACCUUCUGUAAUAUCCACUUAAACCCAGAAAACUCCUCAAUUCAGUGACAGUAGUUGGAGCAGGCCAUGACUUGAUAGCCUCAAUCUUUGUAGGGUCAGUAGAAACUCCUUCAGAGUUAAUGACAUGGCCCAAAUACUCAAUCUCCUUCUAACCAAAAGAACAUUUUUCUAACUUGGCAUAUAACUUAUUUGCUUGCAAUAUAUCAAAUACUUGCUUGAGAUGCUCCAAAUGUUCUUCCAUGGAAAAACUGAACACUAGAAUAUCAUCAAAGAAUAGCACUACAAACUUGAGAAGACCAAAUAAGAGAUUCAUUAAAGCCUGGAAUGAAGGAGGUCCAUUAGUAAGUCCAAAUGACAUUACUAAAUACUCAAAUAAUCCCAUAUGAGUUACAAAUGUAGUUUUUGGAAUAUCCUCCUCAGCCAUUCUGAUCUGGUGAUAGCCAUUUCUCAGAUCAAUUUUUGAAAAUACUUUUGCUCCUUUGAGUUGGUCCAACAGAUCUUCUAUAACUGGAAUGGGAUAUUUGUUUUUGAUUGUAAUUGCAUUUAACUUUCUAUAGUCAGUAUAGAGCCUCCAUAACCCAUCUUUUUUCUUAACUAACAGCACAGGGGAGGAGAAUGGACUAGUGAUGGGCCUGAUAAUACCAUUCUUCAGGAGUUCCAAGAUAAUCUUCUUCAGGAUUUCUUUUUGAUGCUGAGGAAUUCUAUAUGGCCUUUGGUUAACCACUUUUGCUCCCUCUACCAAAGGAAUUCUACGAUCACAGGGCCUACUUGGUGGAAGUUCAGUAGGUUCCUGAAAUAGUUUCUCAUACUGAUCCAACAGUGGUUUGAAUGCAGCAGGAGUCUCUUGAGCAGCUGCUACCAUUUGAGGACCAGAAGUAGUAAACAAGAAGAAUCCACACACAGCUUGUUCCACUAAUUUCUCAGUGUGGUCAGUUACUUCAGUAACAGUAGUAAGAGGUACAGUUUCAUCCACAAAAGUGAUAAACUGCCCUUCAGGAGCAGAUAUCUUCAUUUCCAUCUUAAUGAAAUCCAUUUGUAUGGGGCUAUAUUUCCUCAACCAAUCUACUCCUAAGAUGAUGUCAUAGCCUUUUAACUUUAGUACUCUGAAGCUGUCAAUAAAUGCAUGGCCUUGUAUUGCAUAGUGACAGUUCUUUGCUUGGAAUUCACUCCAGAGGAUCCCUACACUAGCAACUACUCCCUCCGUCCCAAAAUUCUUGUCUUAGAUUUGUCCAAAUACGGAUGUAUCAAGUCACAUUUUAGUAUUAAGUACAUCCGUAUCUAGACAAAUCUAAGACAAGAAUUUUGGGACGGAGGGAGUACUACUUUAGUUUUUGGUGUAGGACUGGGAACAACAUCCGACUUAGUAGCCACCUGAGGAGAUAUAAAAGUAGUAGUACUGCCACUGUCCACCAGUGCAAUUGCCAGAGUAUUUCCCAAUUUAACUGUCAGUAUGAAAGUAUUUUUAGUUGCUCCAAUGCCCAUGGCAGCAUGCAUUGAUACUUUCAGUACUGUUUCCUCAGUUAGCUGCUCUGUAUUGUCUAGCUCCUGAUCAUCAUAUUCUGCCACAAAUAUAGUUUCAGGAGUUCCAUCUUCUUGAGCUUGUAGAGCUUGGAUUUGAGCUUUCUGGUUCAUUUUACACACUUGCCUAUGACCAGGCACCCAAGGCUCUCUACAUUUAUAACACACCUGGUUCUGUUUGGCCUGCUGAAUAACCACAUUCCUGUUUUGUGGUGCAGUUGGAAGCAGUUGUUUGGGCUGUUCAAAAAUGACUUAUCUUUUUGGUUGAGGAACAUACUGCUUAUUUUGCACUGACUGAGAGGAAGGCUGAGAUUUCUCCAUUCUUCUGGCAUACCACACUGCAGUUUGCAGAUCUUUUGGUUUAAAACAUUCCACUAAACUUCUGAUGUAAGGGUUGAGGCCUGAGACAAAGCUGGAGACAUAAUAGUCAUCAGGUAUAGCAGGGUUUUCUCUCCUCAUUCCAUUGACCAAUUGCUCAAAUUGUUCCACAUAAGCAGCCAUUGUUGUUGCUUGAUGUGCAGCAUGAAAGUUACUGACCACAUCACAAGCUGAUUCCACAGAGAACCUAUCAGAUAGGUAAGAACAGAAUUUAUGCCAUGGCACAUUGGAGGGUGCAUAUCCAGUACCCCUCCACCACUGAAUAGCAGGUCCUUUAAGAUAAGAAAUUGCCAGUUCUGUUCUAUGUUCAAUGGGAGUUCUUGCAGCAGCAAAAUACUGUUCCAAAUUCUGAAUCCAUGACUCAGGAUCUUGUCCUUCAAAUUCUGAUAUGUUCAACUUAGCAGGCUUAACAGUCAGAACAUUCCUUUUUCUGUAAUAAUUCUCAACUCCAUCUUCCUGUAUUUCCUCCAACUGAAUUACAUUUCUCUGCACUGCCUGAAACUGUUCCUUGUCCUUACUCUGACCAUAGUGUGGGUUCCUGUAGGGAACCUUAGGAGUCCCAUCCAUAUUCAGUUCCUUACCAGCCUGAUCACGCAGAACAGCUGUCCCAAUUGGAAAAGGGGCAACUUUGUCAGGCAUUGCCACCGAUGGUGGUGUAGGAGCUUGGAGCUGCUUGGGCCUACCCGGAGCUACCUGAGGUGAGUUAACAUGGUUGUCCUUAACCUGCACACUGCCUUGGCCUUCUUCAACCUGAUCCUCCUGUGCUGGCUCGGGUUCUAACAACAGACGCCUGAAAUUGUCCUGAAUUUUCUCAAAGUUCUUUUGCAUCGUUGCAAAAUUUCUGUUUACAGAUGCCUGAAACUGCUGGAACUCCUUGCGAUCCUCUUCUCGCUCCCGCUGGAACGUUUUGAUGUCCAACUCAAGGGAAUCCAGCUACAAUUCGGCCGUUGACCCUGAAUCCAUCGGGCCCGUCAUCUUGAAAUCGUCGGCAAUCAACACCAUAGAGGGUUGGGAGGGUGGGAGGACUAGUCACCGCCGCCUACGCCGCCGCCAGCGCCCACCUCCGAUGGUACACGAGCAGAUCACAGGAGCUGGGAUUUCACUACCUGAAAAGUGUUCCCGGGCAACCAGACUGUUCUUCUGCUUGUACCCGAACUCUGCCACUCUGGCCGCCACCAGAUGCCACUGCCGCUAGAUCGGGGUGAGAUGAGGGAUUUUACAGCCGGAACCAACCUCUUCUACCCCCAAUCAACCAUGCCGCCGAGGAAGGACUGGCUCUGAUACCAAUUGUCAGGACCAGAGUCCCUCUGUACUGAAUUUAAGCACGAACUAGUAGGUUUCAGACAAGAAUUUGGGCGAAUUUAGCUAGGGUUUUCAUUGCAAGAGGAAGGGAAGGUAGUAGCACGCCACCGGCGGCUAGGGUUUACACCCAAUAAUUCUAUUACAUGCCUCGAAUGGAAGGGAAAGCUGGCUUAUAUAGCCAUUACAGUAGCUGUAAAGCAGAAAAGCAGAAAAGUGCAAGCACAUGGCUUGUCGGACGGUGAACAGCUUCUCCCGCGUCUUCUAAGCCGUUGGAUGGUUGAUCGACGGAGGAGAGAAACCCACUUAAGUGAACCGUUAGCUUGGCCCUGAGACCGUAGGAUUUGAGAUGGACGGCUGUCAAUGCAACUGACAUGCAGGAACAGGGGAACUUAAGAACUGAGCCUGACAGGUGCAUAUCAGGGUGAGCUUCCCCAAUCCUUAUUUCCCCUCCGCUCAUGAUCUCUCUCUCCUACCCAUCUUCUAUGCAAGAUUUGUGUAGCCUAAAGCCUUUGUAUGAUACGUGUAGGUAUACCUUUGGAAGAAAAAAUCAAUCAAAUGUUAAUUCUCCAAGGUAACUUGCCUUUUCUACGCAGGUACUGCUUGUUUAGUACUGUGGAUAGUACUGUGGAUAAGUAAAUGUAAGCAUGCCCCAAUAAUGAUACGAACAAGGUUUGAGAGGCUCAAUCAUUUUCAUUUAUACUAAGAAUUAACCAGUUCACUAAUUUCUAUGCUACUAAUAGUGUCGUCUGAAUAUAUCUACUACAUUCACUGCACUGUGCUUACAUUCACACUGAUUGUAGCUGCAAGUUAAGAUCUAAUUGUCCAAGAUAAUUCUGAGGACCUAACACAACGUGCGGUUUUGAACUAAGUGAUAUUUUCUGGCCUUACUCCCAUGUACUUUUAAAAUCAAUUUUAAUGAUAUCGAUAGGUUAAGGUCAUUCAUGAGGAGAGGUGUUGGGGCGGAGUCCCAGGUGUAGCUACUAUUGCCCUAUCAAUUCUGUAGUCACCUCUUUCUGAACAUUGGUUAGUUCUUCACGAGCGAUACUAUACUCUUGCUGCCUCUUAGUAUUCUCCGUUUAUUCUAAUAAGUGUAUGUGGACACACGCAGACAGUAACGGAACAAGCACAACAGUUCUCUUUGUGUUUUAGUGGGUAUAUGUGGAUGUACAGAAAGUGGUCUCUGUUUAUUAACGGGUUACAUGUUGCUGCAAUGAAAAUGUAUAUGGUGAUUUUCAUUCUGGUUUGCAGGGUAGUACAUGGAGCAUAGAAACUGAGUCGAAAGUCUGUCUUUUGUGCAGGAAUUUACUGCAGGUCUGAUCCCUUGCUCGUGCUCUCUGCUUGUCCUCACUCUGUAGACCUUUCCUUUGCUCGUAGCCAUACAUUUUAUUCAGAGUGCUGUCAAGACGCAUCUCCUCUGCCUAUAUGGCGGGCAGAGGGCCUAAGCUCUAGGUGAGCUCCUCCUCCACCCUACAAAUGUUGUAUUUGUUAUGAUGUUUCCAUUGUUAAUGUCUGCAAUCUAAUGCCUUGCUCUGCUAUUUUUAUUUCUAAUCUCAACAUACUCUGUACAGUGAUGAGUAUACCAUUUAACAUGUGCAUGAUGUUAAAAUUGUGUGAAUCUAAGGGCCUACAUGCUUCAUAAUCUGUAGCCAAGUUAUUUUAGGACUUUUUAUUUUGUGUGUGCGAGGAGAAAUUGUACUAUCUCUUCAUGAUUCAUCGUUUAUAUAUUAGUUGGAUAGUAUCUCUUUAUUCGGUUCUUGUGACUGACCUGCUGCUUUACUUAUAUGGACAGCUUAAACUGAAAUCAAUGCAUGGUAUUGUUCAAUUCGAAGUGUACUUGACGUGUGCAGAUCUGAGGAUAAAGGGAAGAAGACGGAAUUUAGCUGAGGAGUUGAAUAGGAUCAAGGUUAUUAUUCCACAAUCAUUUGUUGGGUUUAAGGAUAUAAACAACAUGGCUUACGAGGAUUUGGACUGCUGUUCUUUUAGUUCCACUCUUAAAUCUUUUGGUUCUUGAAGGCCUGCACUUUCCUGGUGGAGUAAGAGCAAAAUAAUUCAGAGGCUUUAAAGCUGCUGCACUUUAGUAGUUAGGAUUAAUUCUUUGUUUUGGUUUGAAAUGCUCCCCAAUUCCUCUUAUUUGAUUGAUUCAUCUGAUGGUCAUUUGUCAGGCAAAUAAACAGAAGGCAUAUGUAUUGUUUUGAGUGAAGCCAUCCAUACAAGGCAAUAUAUUAAUUAUCCCAUAUGUGGAAUUCAAGAUAGAGAGAAAUGUUAUUGUUCUUCUGCUAAUUGGUUGCUUGACAAAUGUACUAUAAAUGAUGUUAUUAUUGUACGAGAUAUAGAGAAAUGUUAUUGUUCUUCAAUUAUUGAGAUGAUAGAAGUACUACUUAGCAGUUUUGUCUCUGACCGAACGAAGCUCUCGAGUAAGAAGGGAUGAAUAAGUGAUGGGUCAAACUGGCUGCCAUACGAAUGCUUUGAAAUAUGGCACAUAAGUACUUUCUUUUUCAAACACACAGAA
This 10365-nucleotide long non-coding RNA is filed under the name Triticum aestivum (bread wheat). RNAcentral's name for it is "long non-coding RNA (TAES_LNC007028)". The stretch from base 5847 to 5981 matches the Rfam family "MIR1120/MIR1122 microRNA precursor family". Lineage: Eukaryota; Viridiplantae; Streptophyta; Magnoliopsida; Poales; Poaceae. The record is from RNAcentral.